RNAcentral lists this long non-coding RNA (543 nucleotides) under Homo sapiens (human). RNAcentral's name for it is "non-protein coding lnc-GLG1-3:1". Lineage: Eukaryota; Metazoa; Chordata; Mammalia; Primates; Hominidae. The record is from RNAcentral.
CUGGCUACACGGGCAGAUACUGCCAAGUGAGGUGCAGCCUGCAGUGUGUGCACGGCCGGUUCCGGGAGGAGGAGUGCUCGUGCGUCUGUGACAUCGGCUACGGGGGAGCCCAGUGUGCCACCAAGGUGCAUUUUCCCUUCCACACCUGUGACCUGAGGAUCGACGGAGACUGCUUCAUGGUGUCUUCAGAGGCAGACACCUAUUACAGAGCCAGGAUGAAAUGUCAGGUGACAGUCACCCCUAGCUUCCUAGGAACCCCCUAGGGCCUCAAGUGAGGGUCUUAAUGCAGGGACCCUGGAGUGAGAGGUGGUUCCUUCAACGUCUCUGACCUCACCCUAUUCAUCAGCAUAAAGCAGGGGUCGUGGACUCCAAGGCUCAUAGAAGCCAGGAGGUCACUUAUUGACCUGAGGGGCCAAGGUCAAGACCAACCUCCAUCUAAGGGAGUUCCAGCCACUGGUUGCCUUGCAGGAAUGCAAGGUCAGGGUGGCCAGAGCUCGGGGUUGUUCAAGAAAACCAGCAACCCAGACUUCCACUGGCAACUCU